GGCUCACCAAGGCGACGACGGGUAACGGGACUGAGAGGUUGGCCCGCAACAUCGGGACUGAGACACUGCCCGGACCUCCACGGAGGGCUGCAGUAACGAAUAUUGGGCAAUGAGCGAAAGCUUGACCCAGCGACGCCGCGUGUAGGAGGAAGUCUUUCGGGAUGUAAACUACUGUCAGGGGGACGAAAGUGCGCUUCGGUGCAUUGAUCGAACCCAGAGGAAGUCACGGCUAACUUCGUGCCAGCAGCCGCGGUAAGACGAAGGUGGCAAGCGUUGUUCGGUAUUACUGGGCUUAAAGCGUGUGUAGGCGGAAGCGUAAGCGUUUUGUGAAAUCCCUCGGCUUAACCGAGAAAUUGCUUGGCGAACUGCGUUUCUUGAGGCAGGUAGGGUGCGCAGAACUCUUGGUGGAGCGGUGGAAUGCGUAGAUAUCAAGAGGAAUGCCGGUGGAGAAGUCGGUGCACUGGGCCUGACCUGACGCUGAGACACGAAAGCGUGGGGAGCGAACGGGAUUAGAUACCCCGGUAGUCCACGCCGUAAACGAUGCCUACUAGGUUGUGGUGGUUCUGACGCCAGCACAGCCGAAGCUAAAGUGUUAAGUAGGCCGCCUGGGGAGUACGGUCGCAAGGCUAAAACUCAAAGGAAUUGACGGGGGCUCACACAAGCGGUGGAGCAUGUGGAUUAAUUCGAAGCAACGCGCAGAACCUUACCAGGGUUUGACAUGCUUGGAUGCCGCCGAGGAAAUUCGGUUAGGCUGCCUUCGGGUGAAACUUGCACAGGUGCUGCAUGGCUGUCGUCAGCUCGUGUCGUGAGAUGUCGGGUUAAGUCCCUUAACGAGCGAAACCCUUGCCGCUAGUUGCCAGCGAGUCAUGUCGGGGACUCUAGCGGGACUGCCGGUGUUAAACCGGAGGAAGGUGGGGAUGACGUCAAGUCAUCAUGGCCUUUAUGCCCUGGGCUUCGCACGUGCUACAAUGGUCAGAACAGAGCGACGCAAGACCGUGAGGUGGAGCAAAUCGCAAAAAUCUGGCCCCAGUUCGGAUUGCAGGCUGGCAACUCGCCUGCAUGAAGGUGGAAUCGCUAGUAAUCGCGUAUCAGCGAUGACGCGGUGAAUGUGUUCCUGAGCCUUGUACACACCGCCCGUCAAGUGAUGGGAGUUGGGAGUACCCGAAGUCGUCUUGCUAACCCCUCGGGGAGGCGGAUGCCGACGGUAAGCCCGAUGACUGGCACUAAGUCGAAACAAGGUA
RNAcentral lists this ribosomal RNA (1241 nucleotides) under metagenome. RNAcentral's name for it is "bacterial SSU rRNA". It matches the Rfam family "Bacterial small subunit ribosomal RNA", at positions 262 to 1498 of the family's 1533-position model. The record is from RNAcentral.